This is a long non-coding RNA of Acinonyx jubatus (cheetah), 463 nucleotides long. RefSeq lists it as uncharacterized. The transcript has 3 exons. Lineage: Eukaryota; Metazoa; Chordata; Mammalia; Carnivora; Felidae. The record is from RefSeq and is a predicted model, not a curated record.
AGGAAAACACUUGGAACUUGGACUCUGGGACUGGACUGCUCUUCCAGUAGAAGACAUACAAGUAGCUUCCUUGAUGGCAGAAGUGGAUACUGGUCAUUGGUGGCUUGCAUCUUCUCUCUACCUCUAUACUCCAAGUUCCUGGCUGGCACUGGAAUUACAUCCUUAGCAUGGGCAUCAUAACCUCCAGGUGAGUCUGUGCAAGUCAGAAUCAACCUCCAUCCAUCUCCAUCCAUUAUGAGACUUAGGACAUGGUGCAGCUCCCAUGGGGAAUAUCAGUUGUGUCUCUACCAAGGAUGCAGAGAAAGACAAGGUAAAUUCUGUUGCCCGUUUCAGUUGCAAUGCUUUCUGGAAACUUUUAUCUGGCCUUGUCUGGCUUUUAUGUCCUCUGGUGUCUUUACUGUUUGAUUUACAUCCUCACAAGCCUCCAGGCUUCUCCAGUUUAACAUCAUCAUGUUAGCUAGCG